Molecule: small RNA, 427 nt
Filed under: Pan troglodytes (chimpanzee)
Lineage: Eukaryota; Metazoa; Chordata; Mammalia; Primates; Hominidae
Description: retained intron
Source: RNAcentral
UUUGUAAAAGUGUUUAAGUGUCUACACACAUUAGAAGCAUCGAAAGCCUUGAGUGAGGAACAAUGAACUUGGUAAUAUUUUUAAGAGCUUCAGAUCUCUCUCUAUCAAAGAACUGGAGUCAGGAUCUUAUAAAUAUUUCUGGGACUAAGGAAAUAAACGGGGUCCGCAGGCCAGGCUUUAUUUAUAAAUUAAGUUGUCUAAAAAUUACUGACGGAUGCAAUGCCAUCACCUCCCAAACAUGCUAAUAUUUGUCUUUCUGUGUUCUUAGCAUCAAUACCAUUCAAAAAUAGACGAACUAAUUGAAGAAACUGUUAAAGAAAUGAUAACACUCUUGGUUGCAAAGUUCGUUACUAUCUUGGAAGGAGUGCUGGCAAAAUUAUCCAGAUAUGACGAAGGGACUUUGUUUUCCUCUUUUCUGUCAUUUACC